Molecule: non-coding RNA, 131 nt
Organism: Otolemur garnettii (small-eared galago)
Lineage: Eukaryota; Metazoa; Chordata; Mammalia; Primates; Galagidae
Source: Rfam
CUUUUGUUUGAACUUGCUUGCCUGUAAAUUCCGACUGAGGUCCUAAAGCAUUUGCGGGCUCAACACCUACUUGCCACACGCAACUUCCUCCUUUGCGGCUCCUGGUCCAGUAGGCACAGAAGACCCCGGGG